RNAcentral lists this long non-coding RNA (1925 nucleotides) under Homo sapiens (human). RNAcentral's name for it is "HSALNT0236474". The record is from RNAcentral. Lineage: Eukaryota; Metazoa; Chordata; Mammalia; Primates; Hominidae.
AGGGAGCAGACGUGGACCAUGGACCCCACACAGUGAAGCUGAGGCUGAGUGGUUUUGAAUUGGGAUGGGACUAUCUCCACAUCCAAACCCUGCCCCUUCCUAGGUGUGUGUCUUCAACAAAUGACUGAACUUCUCUGGACCUUGCUCCCCUUAUUAUAAGGACCAUCAUGCUCACUUCAUGAGGCUCUAAUGAAGGUUAAAGGAGACAGCACUAAGGGAGUAGUAAUGCUCAAAAAACAGUAGCUGUAAUAAUAAUAAUUAAUAUUACAAUUAGAUCCAUCCCCACUUGCAUCUGUGCCUGCACCUGCACUGCACCUGAGCCAUCCUCCACCUGCACCUGAGCCAUCCUCCACCUGUACCUGCAUCUGCACCUGAGCCAUCCUCCACCUGCACCUGCAUCUGCACCUGAGCCAUCCUCCACCUGCACCUGAGCCAUCCUCCACCUGUACCUGCAUCUGCACCUGAGCCAUCCUCCACCUGCACCUGCAUCUGCACCUGAGCCAUCCUCCACCUGCACCUGCAUCUGCACCUGAGCCAUCCUCCACCUGCACCUGAGCCAUCCUCCACCUGUACCUGCAGUGCCGUCGCCACCUCUGCCACCACUGUUCUCACCAGCCCCAGCCCCACCCCGACUGUCAGCUACCACAAGGCCUUCCCUCCUGAAAGCUCCAUGGCCAUAAACAGUUUAUGUGAUUAUUACAUUUAGCCCACAUUUGCAAUGACUUCCUCUCUUUAAUCACUUUGAAGAUGUUUCAAAUUCCUUUCCAACGUGACUGAAAUCAAAGUGGCACCUGUGAAGGGAGAAAGCCUGCCUGCCGGUGCGAGGUGGAGACGUAAAACAGUCAGGUUUGAUGGGGAGAAAUUAUGUCUUGCUUAAUUCCUUUUACCCUAUAAUUACCAGGCGCGACCACGUGGGUUCACAGCAAAAAUAACUUGCCACGUGAAGACGUUGUCUAUAGAAUCCUGGUUUGAGUCCCCAGGCAAGACCCUCAGAGGAGGAUCCCAGGCAGCCCCCGUCCAGGCAUCUACACAGUACUGUGGUCCACCUUCCUCACUAGCUUUCCAACCCCACCCCUGACCCCCAACCACCGAGGCUCAAUUCCCAGGCACCCACUCUGCCUUAUCCUCUUCCCCUCUCUGCAGCAUUUGACUGGCGGUCACCUCCCUCUUCACACUCUUCCCUGGUUUGACUUCCCUAUGCCUCACCCCACCCUCAGUCUCCUUUGUAUCUCUCUCCCCUCCUCCCUUUCACCACCCCCUGGGCACCAGCAUCCCUGAGGCCCUAUCAGCAUCUCUCUUCUCUUUCUUCUUUCCUCCCCGUCUCUCCUUUUUCUCUCUCACAUCUCCUCUCUCCUCUUCACUCCCAUUCCUUCAGACAGCAGGUCUACCCUUCAGACUCUCAAACCCACAGCCCAUCUGCGAUCUCCAGACUUCAGGCCUCUAACUUCCACUUCCAGCUGCUGGCUUAGUGUUUCCACUGGAUACCCUGCUGCGUCCAAACCCACGCCCUCCUGAUUUCUCUUUCUCCAGUAGAACCUGUGCAGAACAAUGUCAAAGAGGCCCUGGAUUAAAGAACAUUUCAGUGUGGAGACUCUCGGACGGCACACACUCCAAGAGCAAGAAUUCCUACGGGAAGAAGGUGCACUUUUGCAGGUCCUGAUGCCUCCGGGUCUUGGAUAACACCAUCCUCUACUUAGAGCUCCAGCCUCCAGCAUCCCCAAGCCAGCCUGCCCCCCACGCUGCCAGCAGAGACAUCUUUCUAAAACACAAAUGGAAUGUUACUGCUCAAAACCUUGCUGCAGCUUCUGGGGUGUUACUCUUGAAAGAAACUACAACAGUUCUCCAGCUUCUCCGGAAUCCCCCAACCCACCUCAGCCAGAGGGAAGAAAAUUUGGGCAAUCUGCAACUUGAGGCAACAACGGAAG